GGACAUUUGGCGGUACUGACGUGU
RNAcentral lists this non-coding RNA (24 nucleotides) under Arabidopsis thaliana (thale cress). Lineage: Eukaryota; Viridiplantae; Streptophyta; Magnoliopsida; Brassicales; Brassicaceae. The record is from RNAcentral.